CGCGGCCUAUCAGCUUGUUGGUGGGGUGAUGGCCUACCAAGGCGGUGACGGGUAGCCGGCCUGAGAGGGCGACCGGCCACACUGGGACUGAGACACGGCCCAGACUCCUACGGGAGGCAGCAGUGGGGAAUAUUGCACAAUGGGCGCAAGCCUGAUGCAGCGACGCCGCGUGAGGGAUGACGGCCUUCGGGUUGUAAACCUCUUUCGCCUGGGACGAAGGGUGAUACUGACGGUACCUGGAGAAGAAGCACCGGCCAACUACGUGCCAGCAGCCGCGGUAAUACGUAGGGUGCAAGCGUUGUCCGGAAUUAUUGGGCGUAAAGAGCUCGUAGGCGGUUCGUCGCGUCUGCUGUGGAAACGCAAGGCUCAACCUUGCGCGUGCAGUGGGUACGGGCGGACUAGAGUGCAGUAGGGGAGUCUGGAAUUCCUGGUGUAGCGGUGAAAUGCGCAGAUAUCAGGAGGAACACCGGUGGCGAAGGCGGGACUCUGGGCUGUAACUGACGCUGAGGAGCGAAAGCAUGGGGAGCGAACAGGAUUAGAUACCCUGGUAGUCCAUGCCGUAAACGUUGGGCACUAGGUGUGGAGCUCAUUCCACGAGUUCCGCGCCGCAGCUAACGCAUUAAGUGCCCCGCCUGGGGAGUACGG
RNAcentral lists this ribosomal RNA (645 nucleotides) under uncultured bacterium. RNAcentral describes it as "bacterial SSU rRNA". It matches the Rfam family "Bacterial small subunit ribosomal RNA", at positions 232 to 885 of the family's 1533-position model. The record is from RNAcentral.